CAUGCAGAGGUUUUCUGACGGCACUGCAAUUGCGGGCUGUAUCAGGGAUGGACAGGAGCCCGGUGAAGGACUUCGUGUGUUCGACCCUGCCCAUACUGGCAUUGUACACAGGGAACUCAAAGGAGAUGUGUCACUGACCCACCUGUGAUAAUAAUCACAUUACCAUCAGGCAGUUCUGCAAAGGAGUCUGUGAUCUGAUCUACACCCGUUGGCUCUGAUGUCUUGGGGAAACCCAACUCUCCACUGUGCUUCAGCUGCUGCUUUGAUAUACAUGUUGUUAAGGACUCGUACAUUAUUAGCGACACCUGUAACUGCAGGUCGUCCACUUUCCUCAUUAGGCAUGUAAAGCUGACAGUCAGAUGUCUCAGGUCCUUCUCUUGUCAGUGCUCCUAACACUCUGCAUUCUGCACGUUUUAUGAAUAUAGUCACUACUUUUAGUCCACUUUAGUUUACUGAAAUUGCACCACUCUAAUAAACAUAAAAAUCAAGAAUGGUGCACAUUUCUU
Molecule: long non-coding RNA, 506 nt
Organism: Monopterus albus (swamp eel)
Lineage: Eukaryota; Metazoa; Chordata; Actinopteri; Synbranchiformes; Synbranchidae
Exons: 4
Source: RefSeq, a predicted model, not a curated record